GACGCAGUCUGAUCCAUUCAUUCCGCGUGCAGGACGAAGGCCUUCGGGUUGUAAACUGCUUUUGUACGGAACGAAAAAGCCUUGGUUAAUACCCAGGGUCCAUGACGGUACCGUAAGAAUAAGCACCGGCUAACUACGUGCCAGCAGCCGCGGUAAUACGUAGGGUGCAAGCGUUAAUCGGAAUUACUGGGCGUAAAGCGUGCGCAGGCGGUUGUAUAAGACAGAUGUGAAAUCCCCGAGCUUAACUUGGGAACUGCAUUUGUGACUGUAUAGCUAGAGUACGGCAGAGGGGGAUGGAAUUCCGCGUGUAGCAGUGAAAUGCGUAGAUAUGCGGAGGAACACCGAUGGCGAAGGCAAUCCCCUGGGCCUAUACUGACGCUCAUGCACGAAAGCGUGGGGAGCAAACAGGAUUAGAUACCCUGGUAGUCCACGCCCUAAACGAUGUCAACUGGUUGUUGGGUCUUCACUGACUCAGUAACGAAGCUACAGCGUGAAGUUGAACGCCUGGGGAGUACGGACGAAAGGUUGAAAUUCAAAGGAAUAGACGGGGGACCCGGACAA
Molecule: ribosomal RNA, 561 nt
Filed under: uncultured bacterium
Lineage: Bacteria
Description: bacterial SSU rRNA
Rfam family: Bacterial small subunit ribosomal RNA
Source: RNAcentral